GCUGGCGGCGUGCCUGACACAUGCAAGUCGAACGAACUGAGGGGCCGUUGAUCGGGUUUCGGAAGGGUUCGUCCCGGAAGAGCCUGUGAGGUUCCUUGGUUAGUGGCGAACGGGUGAGUAACACGUAGGUGACCUGCCCCGAAGAGGGGGAUAACCACUGGAAACGGUGGCUAAUACCCCGUGUGAUCCUGCAUUCGGUUGCGGGAUUAAAGGCUCCGGCGCUUCGGGAGGGGCCUGCGGCCUAUCAGCUAGUUGGUAGGGUAAUGGCCUACCAAGGCUAUGACGGGUAGCUGGUCUGAGAGGACGCACAGCCACACUGGCACUGAGACACGGGCCAGACUCCUACGGGAGGCAGCAGUGAGGGAUAUUGCGCAAUGGGGGAAACCCUGACGCAGCAACGCCGCGUGGGCGAAGAAGGUCUUCGGAUCGUAAAGCCCUUUUCUCUCGGACGAGGAAGGACGGUACGGGAGGAAUAAGCGUCGGCUAACUACGUGCCAGCAGCCGCGGUAAAACGUAGGACGCAAGCGUUAUCCGGAUUUAUUGGGCGUAAAGGGCGUGUAGGCGGCGUCUUAAGUUGGGCGUGAAAUCUUCCGGCUCAACCGGAAGGGUGCGUUCAAUACUGGGACGCUUGAGGGCAGCAGAGGGAGGUGGAAUUCCCGGAGUAGCGGUGGAAUGCGUAGAUAUCGGGAGGAACACCAGUGGCGAAGGCGGCCUCCUGGGCUGUACCUGACGCUGAAGCGCGAAAGCGUGGGGAGCAAACGGGAUUAGAUACCCCGGUAGUCCACGCCGUAAACGAUGGAUACUAGGUGUCGGUGGUAUUGACCCCAUCGGUGCCGCAA
RNAcentral lists this ribosomal RNA (839 nucleotides) under uncultured Chloroflexota bacterium. RNAcentral describes it as "bacterial SSU rRNA". It matches the Rfam family "Bacterial small subunit ribosomal RNA", at positions 35 to 851 of the family's 1533-position model. The record is from RNAcentral. Lineage: Bacteria; Bacillati; Chloroflexota.